Long non-coding RNA from Onychostoma macrolepis, 3172 nucleotides. RefSeq lists it as uncharacterized. The record is from RefSeq and is a predicted model, not a curated record. Lineage: Eukaryota; Metazoa; Chordata; Actinopteri; Cypriniformes; Cyprinidae. The transcript has 2 exons.
GUAAACAAUCCUCAAGUUGAUGCAUUGUCUAGUGCAUUUAUAAUGUCUAAAGAGAAGUGUAUCGGCACCUCAACAAUAGUAUUUUACGUGAUCUUUUUCCAAUUGUUUGUUCAGUUCUUUGGUCUAAAUAUUUCUUUAAACAAUACUAUGUAUUUGAGAGUCCACGUCUGUUAGCCUUGCAGCUAUCUAAAUGCUAACAUACUCACUCCUAAAAGUUUGAUAUCAUUUUAGUUGUUAAAACAUACGGCCUUUGUUUAUUUUAAUUUUUUUUGUCCAAUCAAAUGCUUUCUAGAAUCUUAAUGCUUUUCCCUCUAAAACCUGUUGCCAGCUAGCAUUAGCAAGUAGCAAAUCAAGGUUCGCAGCUAUUUCGUAAACUAAACAUAAGGUCUGAAAUCUAGAACAAACUGUGUGACUGAUAAAAAUCUAUAUAGUAUGAAUGAAAUCCGGACGUUCUACAUUCUGUAUGUAGUCAUUGUCAUGUGACUUAUGGCAUCCGUUAGGUAGGAUAGUUAAGUGUCAAUUAUAUGUGCACUUCAGAAUCUCAGGUUGUAUACUAUAUAGUUUUCACAUUAUUAUAUAGCAGGCAUCCUCAAAUCUGGCCCACUCCUGCAGAGUUUAGCUCUAACCCUAAUCAAACACACCUGAGCAUGCUAAUCAGAGUCUUCAAGAUCAUUAGAAAAUCACAGGUAGGUGAGUUUGAUCAGGGUUGGAGCUAAACUGCAGCAGAUUGGCCCUCCAGGGAAAGAUUUGAGGAACCCUGUUAUACAGUAUAGGGACAAGCCCUUUAUGUCCCACCCCAACUUCCUGUUUGAAUACGAAAUACUGUAAAGAAAACUCUUCUGAUUUCAUGGGCUCUGAACGAAAUAAUAGUCUAAGGAAGUCGCGAGAUCUGAGUUCCAGUCACACUGACCUGGCGCAUUGAAGGUCUGCUGUUGGACGUCCUGAUGAAGAGGGGUACUAAGAGGUCUCAUCAUCGGGCUGAAGUGAACUGUGUUUUUGACAGGACUACCUUCUCCAGAGGUUACUUUUGCUGUCGUGUCUCUGUAUAUAUAUUUAAUUUCUGGUAAAUUAGCUGUAGAAAUGACAACUGAUGUAAAAACUCGACCAGAACCAAAGUGCACAACAAAUUUGAGAUUAUUAUGUUCUGCAGAGAUAAACGUGUCGAAAACCAGAAAAUAGAUAAUGCUAUUCAGGCUCAGGUGGAGACUUGACACUCUAAUGGCAUUUUUGCUGCUUUCAAGUGGUUUAUUUUGCUUUAUUUUGAGAUGUACUUUGACGCUUUUUUGAAACCAACAACUAUAGGACUGUUUUUAUUAAUGAAGGAUUAUAGUGACAGAGGUGUGCAUAUUUGUGUUUAUAGACCUAAAAUUGCUAUUUUUUUUUUUUUUUGUACCACUGUCCCUCUUUGUGACUUAAUAUUCUGCUAUUGACAACUUUAAUGUUGUUUAUACCUUGAGUUACACUAGAGGACCAUGAUGCUAAAGUAUGGAUUCAAUCAAACUUAUUCCCUUGAUAAAGAGAUAACUGCAUCUUGUUUAUGAAGGUCUAUGUUUACAUGAGUGAUGGUUUAAUGAUGCACAUUUUCUUAUUGCUUUUGAGAAGUGGGAAGGGAUCUGGUUUAUAAUGAAAGAAAUAGGAAAAUAGUAAAAAGAAAAUAAUUUAAAGUGGUUUACACUGCCGUGGAAAUCUAUACGUUUAGAAUGUGGAUUAAAUCUCAGGACUGAAAGAACAGAUUCAUUAUGCAAAGUAACACUGCACUUUGAACGAUCUCAAAGGAUAAUGUUACACUAUCAACCCUUGGCUACAUUUGGUUUAUAGAUGUUUUUGGUUGAUCUGUAAACUGAAUAUUACAAGUUUUCAUGAACCGUAACAACAGGAAGUCUUUCUGUUAUUUGUGAGGUAAAGCAACGCUGUUAUCUAACAUGGAGGUGUAAGUACUGCUACUCCAGAUAAAAAUGCACUGGAAUAUGAUUUCUGUCCCCAGAUGAAAGCGGUGUGCCUUGCGAAUGCCUCAAGGCAGGUUCUUACUAAUGAAUGUGGAAGUUAUUGAUUUUGAGUGUGACAGCAGAACAGUUUGAGCUCUGUAAGGUCAAAUUUUGGUCACGAUUUUACGAAGUAAAUAUAAAUUUUUAAUGUUGUGGUCAAAUAAAAGCUCAUUAUAUAUCAGUGUAUCAUGUCAUGGAUUUAUGCUAAUAUAGUGCACUGCUCAACUGGCCUUCUUGACUUUGUUUCUACUUUCUUUGUUCUCUUUAUCCAUGUAACUCUUUCUAUGGGUGUAAUAUAUUACUGUCUCAUGCAGUAAUUCGUUCAUCUUGUGUGUGUGUGUGUGUAUAAGUGUGUUUUCUCUGUGAAACGCAUAUUAAUGAUGUGCAAUAGGGUAGCUGCUGUGUUGGUUGGUUUUGAUCUCACAUGCUAUGUUUUACUGACAAAAGCUGGAAUAUCUGCUUGGCUUGUGUGUUUUGGUUAUCUUUGUACUCUAAACGAAUAAAUAUAUCACUUACAUUUUUAUACAUAAGAGUAUUCAGUUGUUUUAUGUCACUAAUUUGAGCUUUGUUACACACUUGUGGGACUAAAUGUGCCCUUCACAUGUUCGAAUUUGAUUUUCGGAUGGCUUAUGUUUUGCAUUUUUGACUGUUGAUCAGUUUGUGUUAUUUAGUCAUCAUUGUUGUUUUUUUUUAAAACGGGGUUACUGAUGAGGCACUCUCUCCCAGAGGUCUUUAAUGCGCAAUCCAUAUGCAACUGCAUUGUUUUGUUUAUUUUCUUCACAUUUUGUAACCCUAAAUUGCUAAAUAUACACUCAAAGGUUCCAGUUAAACUUUCCAAGAGGCAAUAAAGCAUUAAAAAUUAAGGACAAAACCUGUAUGUAGUAUGUAACAGCAGGGACUGUUGUGACCUGUAUGAUAUAACCCUGACAUAUUUAUUUUUGUGGUUGAUGUUGCAUUUCUACUGUCUGUCUCUGUCUUCUACCAUUUGUGUUCAUAAUGUUUUGUAUUAUGUUGUUGUACGUUUGUGUGUAUUCUGAACUUCACACUGGACUCAUGUAUCUUCCACUUUCUCAGGCUGCCGCUGUGCUGGCUACAACUUCAUUUACUGCCAUGUUUGUGAUGUGUGUUGCUCUGAAUAUCGUAUGGUAAAGUGUACAUACUUGAAUAAAGACAACAGAAGUACUCUA